GUGGGGAAUCUUGCGCAAUGGGCGAAAGCCUGACGCAGCCAUGCCGCGUGAAUGAUGAAGGUCUUAGGAUUGUAAAAUUCUUUCACCGGGGACGAUAAUGACGGUACCCGGAGAAGAAGCUCCGGCUAACUUCGUGCCAGCAGCCGCGGUAAUACGAAGGGGGCUAGCGUUGCUCGGAAUUACUGGGCGUAAAGGGCGCGUAGGCGGACAGUUUAGUCAGAGGUGAAAGCCCAGGGCUCAACCUUGGAAUUGCCUUUGAUACUGGCUGUCUUGAGUACGGGAGAGGUGAGUGGAACUCCGAGUGUAGAGGUGAAAUUCGUAGAUAUUCGGAAGAACACCAGUGGCGAAGGCGACUCACUGGCCCGUUACUGACGCUGAGGCGCGAAAGCGUGGGGAGCAAACAGGAUUAGAAACCCCUGUAGUCC
Molecule: ribosomal RNA, 425 nt
Filed under: uncultured bacterium
Lineage: Bacteria
Description: bacterial SSU rRNA
Rfam family: Bacterial small subunit ribosomal RNA
Source: RNAcentral